Myripristis murdjan (pinecone soldierfish) is the source of this 232-nucleotide long non-coding RNA. RefSeq lists it as uncharacterized. Lineage: Eukaryota; Metazoa; Chordata; Actinopteri; Holocentriformes; Holocentridae. The record is from RefSeq and is a predicted model, not a curated record. The transcript has 4 exons.
CUUGUAGAUCUCACACUCUUCACUUUGCUGUUGUUCACAUCGGCUUCUUGACCCUCAAUCUCAGGACAAGCAAGAUGAAGCGUCUUGUGGCCUUGGCUUUGUUGAUGCUGGUGGUCUACAUGGCCGAUCCUGUUGCAGCAAAGCCCAGCUACGACUGGCUAAAGCCUGUCGUGAAGCAACAAUAUGGAGGCUACAUGCAUGGCGGUGGUGGUGGUGGCGGUGGCGGUGGUGG